GUGGGGAAUAUUGGACAAUGGGCGAAAGCCUGAUCCAGCCAUGCCGCGUGUGUGAAGAAGGUCUUCGGAUUGUAAAGCACUGUAAGUUGGGAGGAAGGGCAGUAAGUUAAUACCUUGCUGUUUUGACGUUACCGACAGAAUAAGCACCGGCUAACUUCGUGCCAGCAGCCGCGGUAAUACGAAGGGUGCAAGCGUUAAUCGGAAUUACUGGGCGUAAAGCGCGCGUAGGUGGUUUUGUAAGUUGGAGGUGACAUCGCCGGGCUCAACCUGGGAACUGCCUCCAAAACUGCAUGACUAGAGUACGGUAGAGGGUAGUGGAAUUUCCUGUGUAGCGGUGAAAUGCGUAGAUAUAGGAAGGAACACCAGUGGCGAAGGCGACUACCUGGACUGAUACUGACACUGAGGUGCGAAAGCGUGGGGAGCAAACAGGAUUAGAUACCCGGGUAGUCC
This 450-nucleotide ribosomal RNA is filed under the name uncultured bacterium. Its description in RNAcentral is "bacterial SSU rRNA". It matches the Rfam family "Bacterial small subunit ribosomal RNA", at positions 354 to 796 of the family's 1533-position model. The record is from RNAcentral.